This 319-nucleotide long non-coding RNA is filed under the name Homo sapiens (human). RNAcentral's name for it is "non-protein coding lnc-CD8B2-14:3". Lineage: Eukaryota; Metazoa; Chordata; Mammalia; Primates; Hominidae. The record is from RNAcentral.
AGUUCUGCUUACCACAGGGAGGUUCCUCCUCCACUGUCCUUUAGUGCCACUGCUGAGCUGUGAUGCCAUGCAGAGUCAUCUGUUGAUUCUGGUUUUAUUUGCUCAAAGUUAUUCAUUAGGCCGGGACAUUCUGUUAAUGGCAUUUAAUAAAUAAAGUCUCUUCCUCCUAGCAGAUAUUGUUAGUCUCUUUCCCCAUUUGUUUCAUUGCCACAAAGCUCAGACCAGAGGCGUUCUACUGUUAAGCAAGUGAAUGGAUACAAGGCCAGCAGCUUCCACUCUUUCCUCCUGUCUCCUUGAGGCACAAUUUUUACGUGUUCAA